This 798-nucleotide long non-coding RNA is filed under the name Taeniopygia guttata (zebra finch). RNAcentral's name for it is "lncRNA (ENSTGUG00000020124.1)". Lineage: Eukaryota; Metazoa; Chordata; Aves; Passeriformes; Estrildidae. The record is from RNAcentral.
GAACUGCCUCGCAAUGGGUGUAAAACCUCAAUGCACAUUUCUCUGAAGGUCUUCUGUCCCUCCUGAAGACCUUCAUUUUGGUCAUCCUCAGUCUUUGAACUCCUGGCAUGUUAAAUUUUUGGACAUUAUGAAACACAUCAGGAGUGUCUGUUGAAAUGAAUGAAUGUUCCAGUGGGCAAUGCACACGUGAGAGAAAAUCCUUGAGCGCAGUGGCGGAACACUGCUCGGAGUAUCUGCCUGGAAUACCAAGCUCUGAGUUUGCACAGGCUCGAUGGCAGUUUCAGAGUAACAAAAGGAUAAAUGAUGCUGAUCUUUCUCCACACAAUGACACCUUUAAGAGAGAGUUACAGUCAAAACCACAUGCAUUCAGAUUGUGCAGCGUUGUGUCCGUGAACUUCCAGAGUUUGCAUUAAAAAGUGACAGAACAUCAGAGUGCCAGAAGCUUCUCAUAUUGUGGCCCUGAAGUAAGUGCUGUGGACACAAUGAGAGAUUCGCCAUUCAGCAUCCUGAGGAGAGCAGGAAGAGGUGAAGGUUCUGUUUGAUCCACUGCUUCCAAAGUUCCAUUAGAGCUGCUGAGGGCUGGAGCUGGGAAAGGAGCAGAGCUUCUGGACAGUCACUCAGGUUGUUGUGUUCAUCUUGGUGGGAUAAACAAAUAAGGGAAAAGCUGCUGUAUCUCUUCCUUGGCACAACCCAGUAUCCUUAUUUGCAAUUUACUCCUUGUUAUGCAAGUCCCUUUGUGCCAGAUCUUGAUGUUUUGGUUGUUUCUUCAUUAAAAUAAUACCUGCUAAGGAAGCUUUC